AAAAAAAUCAAUAACACACUUAAAAUUUUGCUGUGAAUCAAGCUUCUAGAUUUAAAACCCUAAACACUAACAAUUGAAUUUUAAAUCAUCCACCACAAUUCCCAAAUCAAAAUGCCUUAAAAAUUCACUGAACAAAUAGCGUUCAAUUAUAAUCACUUGUUCUAAUUACAACACCAAAAAGAAUCCCCACGAAGUGGAAACAACAAAUUGAACUUAAAUUGAAUAAAUAAAAAAUAAAAUUAACCCAAAUCCAACUUAAACUCAGCC
This 267-nucleotide unclassified non-coding RNA is filed under the name Hevea brasiliensis (rubber tree). Lineage: Eukaryota; Viridiplantae; Streptophyta; Magnoliopsida; Malpighiales; Euphorbiaceae. The record is from RNAcentral.